CGCACAUUGCGCCCAUUAGUAUUCUAGUGGGCAUGCCUGUUCGAGCGUCAUUUCAAACCCUUAAGCCCUGCUGCUUAGCGUUGGGGACCGCUGUAGAAGCGCCCCCCAAAGAAAUUGGCGGAGUUGUUCGGGGCUCUCAGCGUAGUAAUUCUUCUCGCUUUAGGGCACCGACAGCGCCUGCCACAAGCCUAUUUUCUCAAGGUUUGACCUCGGAUCAGGUAGGAAUACCCGCUGAACUUAA
This 241-nucleotide unclassified non-coding RNA is filed under the name Hansfordia pulvinata. RNAcentral describes it as "partial contains 5.8S ribosomal RNA, internal transcribed spacer 2, and large subunit ribosomal RNA". Lineage: Eukaryota; Fungi; Ascomycota; Sordariomycetes; Xylariales. The record is from RNAcentral.